UACGUAGGGUGCGAGCGUUGUCCGGAAUUAUUGGGCGUAAAGAGCUCGUAGGCGGUUCGUCGCGUCGGCUGUGAAAUCCCGAGGCUCAACCUCGGGUCUGCAGUCGAUACGGGCGGACUGGAGUUCGGCAGGGGAGACUGGAAUUCCUGGUGUAGCGGUGAAAUGCGCAGAUAUCAGGAGGAACACCGGUGGCGAAGGCGGUGGUCUGGGGCCUGCACUGACGCUCAUGCACGAAAGCGUGGGGAGCAAACAGG
Molecule: ribosomal RNA, 254 nt
Filed under: uncultured bacterium
Lineage: Bacteria
Description: partial 16S ribosomal RNA
Rfam family: Bacterial small subunit ribosomal RNA
Source: RNAcentral